CAGUCGCCGCGGUAAUACGUAGGGUGCAAGCGUUAAUCGGAAUUACUGGGCGUAAAGCGUGCGCAGGCGGUUUUGUAAGACAGGCGUGAAAUCCCCGGGCUCAACCUGGGAAUGGCGCUUGUGACUGCAAAGCUAGAGUGCGGCAGAGGGGGAUGGAAUUCCGCGUGUAGCAGUGAAAUGCGUAGAUAUGCGGAGGAACACCGAUGGCGAAGGCAAUCCCCUGGGCCUGCACUGACGCUCAUGCACGAAAGCGUGGGGAGCAAACAGGAUUAGAUACCCGGGUAGUCCCUGUCUCUUAUAC
RNAcentral lists this ribosomal RNA (301 nucleotides) under uncultured bacterium. Its description in RNAcentral is "partial 16S ribosomal RNA". It matches the Rfam family "Bacterial small subunit ribosomal RNA", at positions 509 to 807 of the family's 1533-position model. The record is from RNAcentral.